Molecule: ribosomal RNA, 498 nt
Filed under: uncultured bacterium
Lineage: Bacteria
Description: bacterial SSU rRNA
Rfam family: Bacterial small subunit ribosomal RNA
Source: RNAcentral
GACGAACGCUGGCGGCGUGCUUAACACAUGCAAGUGGAGCGACGAACCAGGGCUUGCCCUGGGGCAGAGCCGCGAACGGGUGAGUAACACGUGGGUUACCUGCCCCGUUGACCGGGACAACCCGAGGAAACUCGAGCUAAUACCGGAUGUGAUCUUCGGAUGAAAGGAAGCUUCGGCCUCCGCAACGGGAUGGGCCCGCGGCGCAUUAGCUUGUUGGUGGGGUAACGGCCUACCAAGGCGACGAUGCGUAGCUGGUCUGAGAGGACGAUCAGCCACACUGGGACUGAGACACGGCCCAGACUCCUACGGGAGGCAGCAGUGGGGAAUCUUGCGCAAUGCGCGAAAGCGUGACGCAGCAACGCCGCGUGCGGGAAGACGGCCUUCGGGUUGUAAACCGCUUUCAGUUGGGACGAAGCUUCGUCGGUGAAUAGCCGGCCGGAGUGACGGUACCUUCAGAAGAAGCCCCGGCUAACUACGUGCCAGCCGCCGCAGUAAAAC